AGAUAAGUAAUUUAAAUAAAAUAUUUGGCUUGCACCCAAAAAAUGCUAAGCCUUGUCUA
This 59-nucleotide transfer RNA is filed under the name Crangonyx forbesi. Its description in RNAcentral is "tRNA-Ala". The record is from RNAcentral. Lineage: Eukaryota; Metazoa; Arthropoda; Malacostraca; Amphipoda; Crangonyctidae.